CAUUUGUUUACAUAUGCCAGUUGUUUAAAACUACUGUCUAUGAUAUCUAUGUGUGAGUGUGUAAAAUCGUUUUUUAAAGUUGUUUUAAUAAUAUACGGUACUCUCUCAAAAUUAUAUAAGUGCAAGAACGUGGACUUCAAGUAUCAAAAUCGUUCAGUUUUACACGCAUCUGCUAAGCGUCGUUAAACGUCACGAAGUGGUGCAAGUGCGGGGAGGCAGAGACGGUGUUAUCGCCUGGUGACAAAUUGCGACGUCGGUUCGCGUGGGUCAAGCGGUCGGGGUCCGCCACAUUAAUCUUCAUGGCAGCUUCCGACUUCUCCUUCCGUCAGUGGUUUCGUGAAUCUGGCUCAACUAUAUUAGAACUGUUGGGUAUAUUACAAUUAUCAACACACCGUACUAAAAAUCAAACAAAACUUUGACAUAAACUGAUAAUUAAACUUAAUACACACU
Long non-coding RNA from Zootermopsis nevadensis, 450 nucleotides. RefSeq lists it as uncharacterized. The record is from RefSeq and is a predicted model, not a curated record. NCBI's taxonomy places the organism in Eukaryota, Metazoa, Arthropoda, Insecta, Blattodea, Termopsidae.